GAAGUAAGCCAGACUGCCGCUUUUUUAAAGAAAAGAGGAAAGUCCGGGCUCCACAGAGCGGGGUGACGGGUAACGCCCGUCCGCCAUACGUUGCGGAUACCCGCAACCAAAGCGAGGAAUAGGACCACAGAGACGAGUCGCCGCAUAGCGGCGGGUGAAACGCGGCAACCUCCACCCGGAGCAACGCAAAUAGCAGAUGAUGACGCGGCUCGCGUAGUCUGCGGGUAAGCGGCUUGAGCCAUACAGUGAUGUAUCGCCCAGAUGAAUGGCAGUCACGUGACAAACCGUCACGACAGAACCCGGCUUAUCGGCUUGCUUCGCCC
RNAcentral lists this RNase P RNA (323 nucleotides) under Burkholderiales bacterium. Its description in RNAcentral is "RNase P RNA component class A". It matches the Rfam family "Bacterial RNase P class A". From Rfam's summary of the family: Ribonuclease P (RNase P) is a ubiquitous endoribonuclease, found in archaea, bacteria and eukarya as well as chloroplasts and mitochondria. Its best characterised activity is the generation of mature 5'-ends of tRNAs by cleaving the 5'-leader elements of precursor-tRNAs. Cellular RNase Ps are ribonucleoproteins. Lineage: Bacteria; Pseudomonadati; Pseudomonadota; Betaproteobacteria; Burkholderiales. The record is from RNAcentral.